AUUGAACGCUGGCGGCAGGCCUAACACAUGCAAGUCGAGCGGAUGAAGGGAGCUUGCUCCUGGAUUCAGCGGCGGACGGGUGAGUAAUGCCUAGGAAUCUGCCUGGUAGUGGGGGAUAACGUCCGGAAACGGGCGCUAAUACCGCAUACGUCCUUAGGGAGAAAGUGGGGGAUCUUCGGACCUCACGCUAUCACAUGAGCCGAGGUCGGAUUAGCUAGUUGGUGGGGUAAAGGCCUACCAAGGCGACGAUCCGUAACUGGUCUGAGAGGAUGAUCAGUCACAGUGGAACUGAGACACGGUGCAGACUCCUACGGGAGGCAGCAGUGGGGAAUAUUGGACAAUGGGCGCAAGCCUGAUCCAGCCAUACCGCGUGGGUGAAGAAGGCCUUCGGGUUGUAAAGCCCUUUUGUUGGGAAAGAAAAGCAGCAGGUUAAUACCCCGCUGUUCUGACGGUACCCAAAGAAUAAGCACCGGCUAACUUCGUG
This 484-nucleotide ribosomal RNA is filed under the name uncultured bacterium. RNAcentral's name for it is "partial 16S ribosomal RNA". It matches the Rfam family "Bacterial small subunit ribosomal RNA", at positions 30 to 507 of the family's 1533-position model. The record is from RNAcentral.